Molecule: unclassified non-coding RNA, 388 nt
Filed under: uncultured fungus
Lineage: Eukaryota; Fungi
Description: partial contains 5.8S ribosomal RNA and internal transcribed spacer 2
Rfam family: 5.8S ribosomal RNA (bases 1-133)
Source: RNAcentral
UGGCUCUCGCAUCGAUGAGGAACGCAGCGAAAUGCGAUAAGUAAUGUGAAUUGCAGAAUUCAGUGAAUCAUCGAAUCUUUGAACGCACCUUGCGCUCCUUGGUAUUCCUUGGAGCAUGCCUGUUUGAGUAUCAUGAAAUUAUCAAAACAAGUCUUUCGUUCACUCGACUGGCUUUUUGUUUUGGAGUUGGAGGUCUUGCAGAUUCACUUCUGCUCCUCCUAAAUGCAUUAGCUGGAUCUCUGUGAACUCGGUUCCACUCGGCGUGAUAAGUAUCACUCGCUGAGGACAUCUGUAACAAGGUGGCCGGGGUCGUAGAUUGAACCGCUUCCAACAUUCCAAUCGGAACUUAUUAUGAUCUGAUCUCAAAUCAGGUAGGACUACCCGCUGA